RNAcentral lists this transfer RNA (74 nucleotides) under Gnetum gnemon. RNAcentral's name for it is "tRNA-Asn". It matches the Rfam family "tRNA". From Rfam's summary of the family: Transfer RNA (tRNA) molecules are approximately 80 nucleotides in length. Their secondary structure includes four short double-helical elements and three loops (D, anti-codon, and T loops). Further hydrogen bonds mediate the characteristic L-shaped molecular structure. tRNAs have two regions of fundamental functional importance: the anti-codon, which is responsible for specific mRNA codon recognition, and the 3' end, to which the tRNAs corresponding amino acid is attached (by aminoacyl-tRNA synthetases). tRNAs cope with the degeneracy of the genetic code in two manners: having more than one tRNA (with a specific anti-codon) for a particular amino acid; and 'wobble' base-pairing, i.e. permitting non-standard base-pairing at the 3rd anti-codon position. Lineage: Eukaryota; Viridiplantae; Streptophyta; Gnetopsida; Gnetales; Gnetaceae. The record is from RNAcentral.
CCCCAAUAGCUCAGCGGUAGAGCAAUCGGCUGUUAACCGAUUUUAGUCGUAGGUUCAAAUCCUAUUUGGGGAGA